Molecule: ribosomal RNA, 492 nt
Filed under: uncultured bacterium
Lineage: Bacteria
Description: bacterial SSU rRNA
Rfam family: Bacterial small subunit ribosomal RNA
Source: RNAcentral
GACGAACGCUGGCGGCGUGCUUAACACAUGCAAGUGGAGCGACGAACCGGGCUUCGGCCCGGGGCAAAGCCGCGAACGGGUGAGUAACACGUGGGUAACCUGCCCCGAUGAUUGGGACAACCUCGGGAAACCGAGGCUAAUACCAAAUGUGCUCACGUCCCGCGAGGGACGUGUGGAAAGGAAGCUUCGGCCUCCGCAUCGGGAUGGGCCCGCGGCGCAUUAGCUGGUUGGUGGGGUAAUGGCCUACCAAGGCUUCGAUGCGUAGCUGGUCUGAGAGGACGAUCAGCCACACUGGGACUGAGACACGGCCCAGACUCCUACGGGAGGCAGCAGUGGGGAAUCUUGCGCAAUGCGCGAAAGCGUGACGCAGCAACGCCGCGUGCGGGAAGACGGCCUUCGGGUUGUAAACCGCUUUCAGCAGGGAAGAAGCGAAAGUGACGGUACCUGCAGAAGAAGCACCGGCUAACUACGUGCCAGCAGCCGCAGUAAAAC